This is a non-coding RNA of Haemonchus placei, 72 nucleotides long. The record is from Rfam. Lineage: Eukaryota; Metazoa; Nematoda; Chromadorea; Rhabditida; Trichostrongylidae.
GGGGGUAUAGUCCGAUGGUAGAGCAUGCGACUGCAGAUCGAGAGGUCCCCGGUUCAAAUCCGGGUGCCCCCU